This 483-nucleotide ribosomal RNA is filed under the name uncultured bacterium. RNAcentral describes it as "partial 16S ribosomal RNA". It matches the Rfam family "Bacterial small subunit ribosomal RNA", at positions 28 to 507 of the family's 1533-position model. The record is from RNAcentral.
GACGAACGCUGGCGGCGUGCUUAACACAUGCAAGUCGAACGCUGAAGCUCAGCUUUUGUUGGGUGGAUGAGUGGCGAACGGGUGAGUAACACGUGAGUAACCUGCCUCCUUCUUUGGGAUAACGCCCGGAAACGGGUGCUAAUACUGGAUAUUCACUGGUCUUCGCAUGGGGGUUGGUGGAAAGGGUUUUUCUGGUGGGGGAUGGGCUCGCGGCCUAUCAGCUUGUUGGUGGGGUGAUGGCCUACCAAGGCUUUGACGGGUAGCCGGCCUGAGAGGGUGACCGGUCACAUUGGGACUGAGAUACGGCCCAGACUCGUACGGGAGGCAGCAGUGGGGAAUAUUGCACAAUGGGCGCAAGACUGAUGCAGCGACGCCGCGUGAGGGAUGGAGGCCUUCGGGUUGUGAACCUCUUUCGCUCAUGGUCAAGCCGCAACAAUGGUUGUGGUGAGGGUAGUGGGUAAAGAAGCGCCGGCUAACUACGUG